Molecule: ribosomal RNA, 430 nt
Filed under: bacterium
Lineage: Bacteria
Description: partial 16S ribosomal RNA
Rfam family: Bacterial small subunit ribosomal RNA
Source: RNAcentral
UGGGGAAUAUUGGACAAUGGGCGCAAGCCUGAUCCAGCCAUGCCGCGUGUGUGAAGAAGGCCUUUUGGUUGUAAAGCACUUUAAGCGAGGAGGAGGCUACUUGGAUUAAUACUCUAGGAUAGUGGACGUUACUCGCAGAAUAAGCACCGGCUAACUCUGUGCCAGCAGCCGCGGUAAUACAGAGGGUGCGAGCGUUAAUCGGAUUUACUGGGCGUAAAGCGUGCGUAGGCGGCUUUUUAAGUCGGAUGUGAAAUCCCUGAGCUUAACUUAGGAAUUGCAUUCGAUACUGAGAAGCUAGAGUAUGGGAGAGGAUGGUAGAAUUCCAGGUGUAACGGUGAAAUGCGUAGAGAUCUGGAGGAAUACCGAUGGCGAAGGCAGCCAUCUGGCCUAAUACUGACGCUGAGGUACGAAAGCAUGGGGAGCAAACAGG